This 1257-nucleotide long non-coding RNA is filed under the name Struthio camelus australis. RNAcentral's name for it is "lncRNA (ENSSCUG00000017080.1)". Lineage: Eukaryota; Metazoa; Chordata; Aves; Struthioniformes; Struthionidae. The record is from RNAcentral.
CUCCCUAAUAUUGCCUCUCCGCUGGAUACUACACUUUUCUGGGAAAAGUUGCCCGCUAUAUUGUUCUGAGAUGACUGCUCUCUGUGACCUCGAUCCUGCAAAUAAUUGCUAUCAACUUUAAUACUAGAUUGAAUGAAAUUACUCUUCACGGAAUUUACCAAACUCAUUUUGUUGAAAUUGUUAUCAUGAUCUGACUCUUAAUUUUCCUUUGCAUAACAACAUGAAUCCUAUGACAAACUUGCAUAAUGGGUCUUUGUGCUUUUAUGCUGAUGCAAAUGAGAAUUAUAAGGCAAAGGUGAUUGAACACAGAAUUAUACAAUAAUCUUCAGCUGUAUUGAAAUAUUCCUAAACUUUCUCAGUGGUCUGAGAAAUGUCCUGCCAGUACACUUAUUUAUUUGUGUGAUAGCAGUGCAAUGCAGUUGCUGUGGAUUGACAGGAAAGGGGCCCACCUGGACACUGUGGCCUGCCAAAAGCCAGAGUGAAAGGCAGCCUGCGAACUAAAACACGGACUUGUGUGGGCCAAGGGAAGAUUUAUGGGAGGAGGUAACAGACCCCUUUCCUAUGAUGUGUGAGCUCUGGCCAGAAACGCCUUUUCUCGGAUAACCACAGAAGUGGAGAAAGAAGGUGAAACGAAACAAAGGAUCUGAGAAGCUGCAAAGCGUUAGAAAAGGUGGAUUCAGGACACGGUUUGCGUGGCUGCAAGAUUGCUCUAUCUGAGCGGAGGCUCCUCACAUAGAUCAAACUGCAGCUGAAGAACUUGCUGCGUUUUGUUGGGUUGAUGUUGAAGAAGGAAAGCUGUUAUCAAUCGUGAACGCCUUCACGUCCAUACUGGAGGGAAAAUCAAUUCUCUUGUUCUGCAUAGUUUUUCAGCUACUUAGCAGUAGUGAAAGCAAACAGAACACAAACCUAUUUUUGCUGUGUUGAAGUCCUCACUCCGAAGGUGAGUUAGCAGCAGCAAUGCUGUGGCUUUGGUGAAACUGAAAUUUUAAGCUACUUUUGGGUGGAGUUCAAAAAUGGAGUGUUCCCUUCUACUACAGCUCACCUCUCAACUUCAGAGAAAGCAGCAUGCUGUGACAGAGUGGACGUUUUGAUCUCUGAGAACUUUCUUCACAUUUCAGAAAAUAACAGUGACCUCUUUGGAUCUUUAAACUACAGUCUAGAGUGAGCAGACUUCAGAAGGCUCAGUCAUGUAACGACUACGUUCGUCAUUAAUGCAAAGCAACGUGACAGGAAAAUUGGAAGAAUAUGGGAAAACCU